UACGGAGGGUGCUAGCGUUGUUCGGAAUUACUGGGCGUAAAGGGCGCGUAGGCGGCCUGGUCAGUCGGAUGUGAAAGCCCGGGGCUCAACCCCGGAACGGCAUCCGAGACGGCCAGGCUGGAGACCGGGAGAGGAGAGUGGAAUAGCCAGUGUAGAGGUGAAAUUCGUAGAUAUUGGCUGGAACACCGGUGGCGAAAGCGGCUCUCUGGCCCGGUUCUGACGCUGAGGCGCGAAAGCGUGGGGAGCAAACAGG
RNAcentral lists this ribosomal RNA (253 nucleotides) under uncultured bacterium. RNAcentral describes it as "partial 16S ribosomal RNA". It matches the Rfam family "Bacterial small subunit ribosomal RNA", at positions 524 to 776 of the family's 1533-position model. The record is from RNAcentral.